GAUGAAGAACGCAGCAAAAUGCGAUAAGUAAUGUGAAUUGCAGAAUUCAGUGAAUCAUCGAAUCUUUGAACGCACAUUGCGCCCGCCAGUAUUCUGGCGGGCAUGCCUGUUCGAGCGUCAUUUCAACCCUCAAGCACAGCUUGGUGUUGGGACUCGCGUUAAUUCGCGUUCCCCAAAUUGAUUGGCGGUCACGUCGAGCUUCCAUAGCGUAGUAGUAAAACCCUCGUUACUGGUAAUCGUUGCGGCCACGCCGUUAAACCCCAACUUCUGAAUGUUGACCUCGGAUCAGGUAGGAAUACCCGCUGAACUUAAGCAUAUCAAUAAGCGGAGGA
Molecule: unclassified non-coding RNA, 332 nt
Filed under: soil metagenome
Description: partial contains 5.8S ribosomal RNA, internal transcribed spacer 2, and large subunit ribosomal RNA
Rfam family: 5.8S ribosomal RNA (bases 1-120)
Source: RNAcentral